Molecule: long non-coding RNA, 1297 nt
Organism: Hemiscyllium ocellatum (epaulette shark)
Lineage: Eukaryota; Metazoa; Chordata; Chondrichthyes; Orectolobiformes; Hemiscylliidae
Exons: 3
Source: RefSeq, a predicted model, not a curated record
GGAAACUGAUCCUGUCAAUGGUCUUGCAAACACAGGGACCUUGUUUAAUUCAUGUUUUCCCUUAAGUGGAUUUUCCUCUUCAAUUGACCACUUUGUGGGUUGGUAAUGCUUGCACAUUUACCACCCUCAAGGUGAAAUGGCCAGAUCCCCAAAAGCUGCUCCUUGACCUGCGAGGAUGACAGUAGCAAGACUUCAGAGGAAGUAUCAGCAUCCCUCACCAGCCCAAAUACUGACAGCUCAGUGGGAACAUUAGGUUUGGAAAGUGUGAGAACACAAUCUGAAAACAAUUCCCAGUUGACUGAGGAAGAAAUGCCCCAGGCACAGGGAGCACUGACAGAGACCAGCACUUGCAGCCCCAGGAAUGACAAUGUGGUGUCAGUGAUGACAGCGUUCAUCCACAAGCCCAGGGAAAAACAAGAACAGCAGACAGGCAUGUGGGCUACAAUGACCCUCAUUGCUGUAAGCUGUAGAGGUCUAAUAAAUCACAUGACUACCUGUCUGCCUCCAUGACCCAGUUGCCAGCUGCCCAGAAAGUGGGUCCCCCAUCCUCAGGGUCUGCAUGUGCUCUGGGACUGCACUGUUCCAGUCACUGGUAUUCAGGCCUGAAGGCAAGGCAACAGGGGAACAUGGGCCCCUUCCUUACAAGGAGACAGGUUGGAGUCACUAUGCACCAAGCCACAUGAGAAACCACAUAUUUCCCCCCUCUGAAGUCUCUGCUCAGAACACUCCAUAGGUGGCUGAGCCCUUCAUCUACACCCUGCCUGUCCUCUUUGACACUUGGAAAUUCAUGCCAAGGAGAGUCAACUUACAUUUGGCAGGGAGAACCGUGAAAAGUCUGGCUCAUCCAGACAUAAGUUUCCCCGGGGCCACCCAACCAAGCCUCCAGGAACAAGGGGGUCAGGGAGAGGCUGAAUAAGUUGGAGAUGUUUUUCCUGGAGCAUUGGGGGCUGAAUGGUGACCUUAAAGUGGUUUAUAAAAUCAUGAACGGCAUGGAUAGGGUAAAUAGACAAGGUCUUUUUCACUGGGGUGGGUGACUCCAGAACUAGAGAGCAUAGGUUUAGGAUCAGAGGAAAAAAAAAUUAAAAUAGACUUAAGGGGCAACUUUUUCAUGCAAAGGGUGGUGUGUGUAUGGAAUGAGCUACCAGAGGAAGUAGUGGAGGCUGGUACAAUUACAACUUUUAAAUGGCAUCUGGAUGGGUAUAUGAAUAGUGUUACCACAAAGGGUAAAUCCCCCUGCUUAAUUUAAACCGGCAACACAGAAAGAUUUAUCCUGUGCAGUAAUCUGUGAAAAUUCCAA